Molecule: ribosomal RNA, 389 nt
Filed under: uncultured bacterium
Lineage: Bacteria
Description: bacterial SSU rRNA
Rfam family: Bacterial small subunit ribosomal RNA
Source: RNAcentral
AUUGAACGCUGGCGGCAUGCCUUACACAUGCAAGUCGAACGGUAACGCGGGGCAACCUGGCGACGAGUGGCGAACGGGUGAGUAAUGCAUCGGAACGUGCCCAGUAGUGGGGGAGUAGCCCGGCGAAAGCCGGAUUAAUACCGCAUACGACCUACGGGUGAAAGCGGGGGACGUCGCAAGAGCCUCGCGCUAUUGGAGCGGCCGAUGUCAGAUUAGGUAGUUGGUGGGGUAAAAGACCUACCAAGCCGACGAUCUGUAGCUGGUCUGAGAGGACGACCAGCCACACUGGGACUGAGACACGGCCCAGACUCCUACGGGAGGCAGCAGUGGGGAAUUUUGGACAAUGGGCGCAAGCCUGAUCCAGCCAUGCCGCGUGCGGGAAGAAGGCC